AUUUGAACUGUCUGUUGCUCUAGGUCUUUUAACUUUAAAUCGUUUUUUAGAAGCUUCCUAUUUUUGAAGUAUAUGUACGCCAUAAUUUAAAAUCUAUUAUAUCAAUCGUUUAGAAAUUGUACAAGGCUUCUUCAGCAAAAAUCGAGUUUUUGUCCUCCAAGUGCUACGAAAAAUUGAAAAAUCGGCAAAAAAAUCUCUCCACGUUUACCUCGAGAAACAUUUUUACCGAAUGCAUUUUGAUUUUUGCGUUUCAAAUGAUUCUAUCGGGCAAUAUCGUGUACACCGUAAAACAAUUAUUACCCGAAGUACCUUCGGAGAUUCACUGUCACUCGUUCAAUUUUAAAUUUUUUGCAAUAGAAAUUUCGGCAAAUCUUGUUCGAUUGUUUCGUUAUUAUAUGGAAAUUGACUAAAUAAGUUGGCACUACUUGCUCCUGCAAAAAUCUUAAAAA
Hermetia illucens (black soldier fly) is the source of this 449-nucleotide long non-coding RNA. RefSeq lists it as uncharacterized. The record is from RefSeq and is a predicted model, not a curated record. NCBI's taxonomy places the organism in Eukaryota, Metazoa, Arthropoda, Insecta, Diptera, Stratiomyidae. The transcript is spliced from 2 exons.